UUCUGAAUGGAGCUCAUGGGGCUGA
Molecule: non-coding RNA, 25 nt
Filed under: Rattus norvegicus (Norway rat)
Lineage: Eukaryota; Metazoa; Chordata; Mammalia; Rodentia; Muridae
Source: RNAcentral